GAUGAACGCUAGCGGCAGGCCUAACACAUGCAAGUCGAGGGGUAACAGGGAAAGCUUGCUUUUCGCUGACGACCGGCGCACGGGUGCGUAACGCGUAUACAAUCUACCUUUUGCUGAGGGAUAGCCCAGAGAAAUUUGGAUUAAUACCUCAUGGUAUGUUAGUAUGGCAUCAUACAAACAUUAAAGGUUACGGCAGAAGAUGAGUAUGCGUUCUAUUAGCUAGAUGGUGUGGUAACGGCACACCAUGGCAACGAUAGAUAGGGGCCCUGAGAGGGGGAUCCCCCACACUGGUACUGAGACACGGACCAG
This 309-nucleotide ribosomal RNA is filed under the name uncultured bacterium. RNAcentral's name for it is "bacterial SSU rRNA". It matches the Rfam family "Bacterial small subunit ribosomal RNA", at positions 28 to 334 of the family's 1533-position model. The record is from RNAcentral.